RNAcentral lists this ribosomal RNA (484 nucleotides) under uncultured bacterium. RNAcentral describes it as "partial 16S ribosomal RNA". It matches the Rfam family "Bacterial small subunit ribosomal RNA", at positions 30 to 507 of the family's 1533-position model. The record is from RNAcentral.
AUUGAACGCUGGCGGAAUGCUUUACACAUGCAAGUCGAGCGGCAGCACGGGGGCAACCCUGGUGGCGAGCGGCGAACGGGUGAGUAACACAUCGGAACAUGCCCAGUCGUGGGGGAUAACACUUCGAAAGAAGUGCUAAUACCGCAUACGUCCUGAGGGAGAAAGCGGGGGAUCGCAAGACCUCGCGCGAUUGGGGUGGCCGAUGUCAGAUUAGCUAGUUGGUGGGGUAAAGGCCUACCAAGGCAACGAUCUGUAGCUGGUCUGAGAGGAUGAUCAGCCACACUGGGACUGAGACACGGCCCAGACUCCUACGGGAGGCAGCAGUGGGGAAUUUUGGACAAUGGGGGCAACCCUGAUCCAGCCAUUCCGCGUGAGUGAAGAAGGCCUUCGGGUUGUAAAGCUCUUUCGGCAGGAACGAAACGGUGAGCUCUAACAUAGCUUGCUAAUGACGGUACCUGAAGAAGAAGCACCGGCUAACUACGUG